This 385-nucleotide ribosomal RNA is filed under the name Foraminifera environmental sample. RNAcentral describes it as "bacterial SSU rRNA". It matches the Rfam family "Eukaryotic small subunit ribosomal RNA", at positions 1160 to 1452 of the family's 1831-position model. Lineage: Eukaryota; Foraminifera. The record is from RNAcentral.
AAGGGCACCACAAGAACGCGUGGAGCAUGUGGCUUAAUUUGACUCAACGCGGGAAAUCUUACCGGGUCCGGACACACUGAGGAUUGACAGGCAAUAAAGUGUUUUUAGAGUGUAUAUAAUAUAAUUUAUUUUAUAUUUUUCUCUUUAAUUCACUUUUUUUAAAUUAUGCUAGUCCUUUCAUGAUUAUGUGGUAGGUGGUGCAUGGCCGUUCUUAGUUCGUGGAGUGAUCUGUCUGCUUAAUUGCGUUUCGCACUGGAUUUAUUUACUUUAAAUUAUGUAUGCAGUAUCAUAUUUCCAAUUUGAUUUUAAACUUUGUUUAUAUUUCAUUUUGAGAAAUUGGUAUCUUUUUGUGUACGCUGAAUCCUGAAAGCAACGAACGUGACCG